Molecule: long non-coding RNA, 635 nt
Filed under: Homo sapiens (human)
Lineage: Eukaryota; Metazoa; Chordata; Mammalia; Primates; Hominidae
Description: NAV2 antisense RNA 3 (NAV2-AS3)
Source: RNAcentral
AUUCCAGACACAGAAUGCUGAGAAACGUUGCAGCCCCAGCCCAGCUACACCCGGGUGCAACGUGGAUGUAUCAGAAAACGACAACCCCAGAAAAGCGGGAAAGCCUCUGAGAAAUGGGACUGAAAUGGAACUGAACAUAUUUUUCAGAACACACCAUUUCCUAGUCCUGUCUGAGUCAUCCCAGACCUCUGGGAGCUGGCCAGACUUGAAGGGUAGUCCUCACCAUCCCUCCAGUCAAGACAGACCUGUGAAGGCAACAUGCCUUUUACAAAAGGAACUUUCUCUACAGAAUAGGUUGGUAACUGACACUAGCUAUGAAAAAGCUGUGGAAUCUAACAGGACCUGCUAGAACAAAUACUCCAGACUUCAAGUCUAACAUUUAGUAAACAGAUUUCUUCCCUUUCUUUAAAUGUAAUGAUGCAACAAUGUGGAACCAAGUGAAACUGGCUUUGUGAGUCACCUUCAGAAGCGGCGAAAGGUGGCUUCUCAUUUCCAAAGUUCACAGUUCAACAUGGCCUGCAUAAGUAAUACAAACUGACUGCCACUAAUCUCACCAGAAAUCACCUCUGUCAAGAACUGUGUGAGGAGAGAGGGGACAGAGAAGGAAAGAAAUACGUACCGACUUGCUCUAGUCG